ACGCGCGUCGAUCAACGUUCAUUUUACCUUCCAUUUACCCUUGAGCAGACUUUUUGGUUUGUAUUCAAGCCUCGAUUCAUUUUCUAAGCAACAAAUAAAGGUAAGAAUAUUGUCUAUUUCAUUAUGAAUGUGUCGUGUAACUUGUAGUUGCGUAUAAAGCAUCACAAGUUAUAAAAAUACACGAGUUUAUUACCCAUUCUGAAGGGCAGAUUGAAACUUGACCGUUUGAAUACGAAGCUACUUCCAUUAACAGAUUAUUUGAAAUUUUACUCGAUAUUCCUUCCAUUAUUACAGGUAGCGUUCGGGAAUAACAAAAUAUCGCCUCGCCAUUCACUGCAAGGCGUUCGUACUCGGCGAGGAAAGAAAAAUUACGCGCAAAAUUGAAUUUGAUUUCAAAAGGGUGUUGUCUCUGAUUCGAUUUCCUUGUGUCGUUUAGAUGUGACACGCAUUUGCUUGAGAAAAAGCUCAUCUAGCUUAGGGUUGAUAAGAAUAAGUGUAGUUUGAGUAAUUUUGCCGUAAUAUUGGCCAAAAUAUCGGCCUUUUUGAUAUCAACAUAGAGAUAAGAAUAAAAAAUCAUGAACAAAGCACAUGGGUCUGGCGAAUUCAGAAACGCAUUCCUCGUUCGGCUCUAUUGAGUCUGUUUUAUUGCGAACCACAGUGGGCCUUUAUAAUAAUGCUCAACAAUGUAGAAACGUUUUUGCUUAAUGAUUUAUAACAAGAUAUGGAAAUAAGGUUUAUGUUGAUGAAAUAGAACACAAUUAUCGUGUUUUUAUGUUGCAAGAACGAGUUCUAAUUUCUUCUAUGCGUUCUAAAUGUUUGACUUUUCGAAGAUUGCGACAACUCCUUGUCUGUGUUGUUUUUUCAUUUCCAUAGCGGCGAAGCCUUUAUUUGACUCGCCGUCGUUUACUAAAAGCAAAUAGAUGAUCCAUACUGACUGCUUUUGAAUAAUUACCUUUCGCGUUUUUAAUUGUAAUAGAGUUUUAAACUGGUCGUCGUUUUUUUGUGAGAUAUAUAUAUAUAUAUAUAUAAGUAUUUCUAGUCUAUACACUUCGUGUUGGGGCUAUCCGGCCUUCGCACAAGCAACCUAAAAGAGAAACUUUCUUUUUGUUUGGGAUUCAAAGAUUAAAACCGCGAUAUUAAGGCGUUUCCUUGGCCACAAGCCGUGCAUUAGUUGUAUUUAUUUAGCAGCCGCCGUGGUUGCUUCGAAGAAUGAUUGUUCUACAUUCAUAAAAAAAAUCUUACUGGAAAAGUCGUUUUAAAACGACAUUUUGCGAAUGUUUCUGCGUAAUGAUUUUGACUUUUGAACUUGCUUUCGAGGAGACCCACACCUGUCACAGGAAUUCGAUUUCAAACUCUCAUUUCAGACGAGGUGUCGAGUUUCAAAAGCGGAAAAAAAAUGAGUUUCGCUUCUGCUUUGGGUCGCAAAUGAUUCCCUUGGGGCGUCUUUGAACUAUCCAUGUUUACAGAGCGCAUCGGCUAAUUUUCACAAUGCAUCAAUAAUAUAAAUGGGUGGGCAAGGCAGGUGUUACCUAUGUUUUGGCAAAAGCUGAUUUAAAAUGAUAUUUUUAAUAUGAGUGUGGCUGUUAAUAUGUUUUAUAUUGUUUUAUUUUUGCAGAUGAGGACUUCAACUGUUAUUUUAUGUAAGUGUCACGGAACGUUUUGCUUAUUUUCAGCGUUGUUAAAAAUUGCAGUCAAUUUAUAUGUUAGGCCCUUCUGGCGUUAGACAGUAAAAUAAUCUGGCGUUAGACUGAGUAAAAAUAAUGGAGUAGGGUGCAUUGCCACCUAAAGGGUUUCCAUUAUUUUAUUCAGUCUAAUGCCAGACGAUUUUACUCGUUGGGGAGAGUACUGCCACUCAUUAGGUUAAUAUGAGCUGGGCUGGCCCGACAGGGCUAGAUUGCUUUUCUGGGCCAAGUUGUCACUUGGCUCACAUUCUGAGUAGCAUUGUACAUGUUUUCAAGUAUAGUUUUGAAUGUAUCUUAAAAAACGAACCUCCUUGUUUGGCUGGUUUUCAGUUUCUUACAAGAACUGUCUUGCCCUAAAACAACAAUAUCUUUUCCAUUUAUAGGUUUUGUGGUCUGUAUGGUAGCAUAUGUACAUGCACAAGCACCAGCAAAUACUACUCAAGGUAUUUUAGUUUACUUAAUUUGAUUUUAUCUUUUGAUGGUACCCAGCCAGCCUGACAAUUCAGUCCCGCUAUGCAAAUAUUGGCC
This 2210-nucleotide long non-coding RNA is filed under the name Paramuricea clavata. Lineage: Eukaryota; Metazoa; Cnidaria; Anthozoa; Malacalcyonacea; Plexauridae. The record is from RNAcentral.